AUUGGGAGCUGAUACUUUUUGUGGUCACAUUUUGCAAGAUCUGUGUUUGGAGGGUGCACGCGGGAGGUUUUACGAGUCUAUGGUAGGGAUAUCUUUGCGAGCAUUAUCUACAAAUUGAAAUAAGAAACCUGGCCGGAUUAGUAAACAAUGAUACCUGACAUUGCUCUAGGCGGGCCAUGAGGAUGUGAGAUGUAAACAGUCAUAACUUCUGUCCGAAAGGGUUGAGGUACUACUUUUAGAAAGGAUAGAAUGUGGAUUCGUGAACCAAAUAAUUUUGUACAGUAUUAGACUAAGAUAAUAUUAAUGAUAGUAUAGGUCCUAGAUUGAAAUAUCAUGGUCUACAUAAAUCAAACGUAUUGUAACCCUAGUCACAAUAUUA
Molecule: long non-coding RNA, 379 nt
Organism: Erigeron canadensis
Lineage: Eukaryota; Viridiplantae; Streptophyta; Magnoliopsida; Asterales; Asteraceae
Exons: 3
Source: RefSeq, a predicted model, not a curated record